This 434-nucleotide ribosomal RNA is filed under the name uncultured Lachnospiraceae bacterium. Its description in RNAcentral is "partial 16S ribosomal RNA". It matches the Rfam family "Bacterial small subunit ribosomal RNA", at positions 341 to 792 of the family's 1533-position model. The record is from RNAcentral. Lineage: Bacteria; Bacillati; Bacillota; Clostridia; Lachnospirales; Lachnospiraceae.
ACGGAAGGCAGCAGUGGGGAAUAUUGCACAAUGGGGGAAACCCUGAUGCAGCGACGCCGCGUGAGUGAAGAAGUUAUUCGUAAUGUAAAGCUCUAUCAGCAGGGAAGAAAAUGACGGUACCUGACUAAGAAGCCCCGGCUAACUACGUGCCAGCAGCCGCGGUAAUACGGAGGGGGCAAGCGUUAUCCGGAUUUACUGGGUGUAAAGGGAGCGUAGACGGUCUGGCAAGUCUGAUGUGAAAGGCAGGGGCUCAACUCCUGGACUGCAUUGGAAACUGUCAGUCUUGAGUGUCGGAGAGGUAAGCGGAAUUCCUAGUGUAGCGGUGAAAUGCGUAGAUAUUAGGAGGAACACCAGUGGCGAAGGCGGCUUACUGGACGAUAACUGACGUUGAGGCUCGAAAGCGUGGGGAGCAAACAGGAUUAGAUACCCUGGUA